This 256-nucleotide ribosomal RNA is filed under the name uncultured Gardnerella sp. RNAcentral's name for it is "partial 16S ribosomal RNA". It matches the Rfam family "Bacterial small subunit ribosomal RNA", at positions 99 to 355 of the family's 1533-position model. The record is from RNAcentral. Lineage: Bacteria; Bacillati; Actinomycetota; Actinomycetes; Bifidobacteriales; Bifidobacteriaceae.
CGAACGGGUGAGUAAUGCGUGACCAACCUGCCCCAUGCUCCAGAAUAGCUCUUGGAAACGGGUGGUAAUGCUGGAUGCUCCAACUUGACGCAUGUCUUGUUGGGAAAGUGUUUAGUGGCAUGGGAUGGGGUCGCGUACUAUCAGCUUGUAGGCGGGGUAAUGGCCCACCUAGGCUUCGACGGGUAGCCGGCCUGAGAGGGCGGACGGCCACGUUGGGACUGAGAUACGGCCCAGACUCCUACGGGAGGCAGCAGCC